CUCUUCUCUUGAGCACCGCUCUGUCUAGCAAUGACAGUGUACGGUUUCGUAUGAGAAGAAGAGCAGAGUCACAGUUAACAGGCAGCUACCUCAGUGGCAGUUGCCCAUGUCUGAUGUGAAACAAAC
Small nucleolar RNA from Archocentrus centrarchus (flier cichlid), 126 nucleotides. RefSeq annotates it as small nucleolar RNA SNORA75. The record is from RefSeq and is a predicted model, not a curated record. NCBI's taxonomy places the organism in Eukaryota, Metazoa, Chordata, Actinopteri, Cichliformes, Cichlidae. The transcript has a single exon.